UGGAAGAGAGAAUCUCAGGUGCAGGAA
This 27-nucleotide non-coding RNA is filed under the name Mus musculus (house mouse). Lineage: Eukaryota; Metazoa; Chordata; Mammalia; Rodentia; Muridae. The record is from RNAcentral.